CGGCGGACGGGUGAGUAAUGUAUGGGGAUCUGCCUGAUGGCGGGGGAUAACUACUGGAAACGGUAGCUAAUACCGCAUAACGUCGCAAGACCAAAGAGGGGGACCUUCGGGCCUCUUGCCAUCGGAUGAACCCAUAUGGGAUUAGCUUGUAGGUAAGGUAACGGCUUACCUAGGCGACGAUCCCUAGCUGGUCUGAGAGGAUGAUCAGCCACACUGGGACUGAGACACGGCCCAG
This 235-nucleotide ribosomal RNA is filed under the name uncultured bacterium. Its description in RNAcentral is "partial 16S ribosomal RNA". It matches the Rfam family "Bacterial small subunit ribosomal RNA", at positions 96 to 334 of the family's 1533-position model. The record is from RNAcentral.